Molecule: ribosomal RNA, 450 nt
Filed under: uncultured bacterium
Lineage: Bacteria
Description: bacterial SSU rRNA
Rfam family: Bacterial small subunit ribosomal RNA
Source: RNAcentral
GUGGGGAAUAUUGGACAAUGGGCGAAAGCCCGAUCCAGCCAUGCCGCGUGUGUGAAGAAGGUCUUCGGAUUGUAAAGCACUUUAAGUUGGGAGGAAGGGCAGUAAGUUAAUACCUUGCUGUUUUGACGUUACCGACAGAAUAAGCACCGGCUAACUUCGUGCCAGCAGCCGCGGUAAUACGAAGGGUGCAAGCGUUAAUCGGAAUUACUGGGCGUAAAGCGAGCGUAGGUGGUUUUGUAAGUUUGAGGUGAAAUACCCGGGCUCAACCUGGGAACUGCCUCCAAAACUGCAUGACUAGAGUACGGUAGAGGGUAGUGGAAUUUCCUGUGUAGCGGUGAAAUGCGUAGAUAUAGGAAGGAACACCAGUGGCGAAGGCGACUACCUGGACUGAUACUGACACUGAGGUGCGAAAGCGUGGGGAGCAAACAGGAUUAGAUACCCGUGUAGUCC